GACGAACGCUGGCGGCGUGCUUAACACAUGCAAGUCGAACGGAAAGGCCUGCUUUCCCUUGUGGAUUGCGGGUACUCGAGUGGCGAACGGGUGAGUAACACGUGAGUGAUCUGCCCCCAACUUGGGUAUAAGCCUGGGAAACUGGGUCUAAUUCCCGAUAGGACUGCAGGGUGGUGCCUGUGGUGGAAAACGAUUUUCUAGUGGUUGGGGAUAAGCUCGCGGCCUAUCAGCUUGUUGGUGGGGUAAUGGCCUACCAAGGCGGCGACGGGUAGCCGGCCUGAGAGGGUGGACGGCCACAUUGGGACUGAGAUACGGCCCAGACUCCUACGGGAGGCAGCAGUGGGGAAUAUUGCACAAUGGGCGGAAGCCUGAUGCAGCGACGCCGCGUGGGGGAUGACGGCCUUCGGGUUGUAAACUCCUUUCGACCGCGAGGAAGCCACCUGGUUGGAAGGGUGGUGACGGUAGUGGUAGAAGAAGCACCGGCUAACUACGUG
RNAcentral lists this ribosomal RNA (494 nucleotides) under uncultured bacterium. RNAcentral's name for it is "partial 16S ribosomal RNA". It matches the Rfam family "Bacterial small subunit ribosomal RNA", at positions 28 to 507 of the family's 1533-position model. The record is from RNAcentral.